UGAAAAAACGCCCUUAAAUCCCCAUUAGGGAUAAGGUGCUGGUUUUAGGCACGAAAAUCUGCCCAAAACACCUAGCUAUGCCACACCCACACGGGAACUCAGCAGUAAUUAACAUUAAAUAUAAGCGACAGCUUGAUUUAGUUAAAGUAAAGAGAGCCGGCAAAUCUGGUGCCAGCCGCCGCGGUUACCCCACGUGGCUCAAAUUGAUCUCCCACGGCGUAAAGCGUGAUUAAAGUUCCCACUAUACUGAAGUUAAACUGAAACUAAGCCGUAGUACGCUUGUUUUACAGAAAUUCACAAACGAAAGUUACUUCAACUUGAUCAACUUGAAUACACGACAAUCAGGACACAAACUGGGAUUAGAUACCCCACUAUGCCUGAUCGUAAACUUUUAACUACUACCCCAUCGCCAGGGAACUACCGAGCUAAGCUUAAAACUCAAAGGACUUGACGGUACCCCAUAUCCCCCUAGAGGAGCCUGUCCUAUAAUCGAUAAUCCCCGUUAAACCUCACCACUUUUAGCUUCUCAGCCUGUAUACCUCCGUCGUCAGCUUACCACGUGAGCGAAAUUUAGUGAGCUUAAUGUUCACACGCCCGUACGUAGGUUAAUGUGCACU
This 617-nucleotide ribosomal RNA is filed under the name Hylodes perplicatus (Humboldt's tree toad). RNAcentral's name for it is "partial 12S ribosomal RNA". It matches the Rfam family "Bacterial small subunit ribosomal RNA", at positions 320 to 1139 of the family's 1533-position model. The record is from RNAcentral. Lineage: Eukaryota; Metazoa; Chordata; Amphibia; Anura; Hylodidae.